This 203-nucleotide long non-coding RNA is filed under the name Elaeis guineensis (African oil palm). RNAcentral describes it as "long non-coding RNA (EGUI_LNC062261)". The record is from RNAcentral. Lineage: Eukaryota; Viridiplantae; Streptophyta; Magnoliopsida; Arecales; Arecaceae.
AUUAGAUUUGAAACACAUCUUAUGAUGAAAAAUUUAAUUUAUAUAUAUUUUUUUAUUUUUUAUACAUAAAAUUUAAGCAAAAAUCAAGCAAAAACAUCCAAAAAUCCAUUUUAAAAAACCUUUGAUGCAUGGUAGACUGAUCGCUCGAUCCAUAGAAUCAGCCAUGCGGUCCACAAAAAAUUUCCUCCGAUCCACGUCACGGC